RNAcentral lists this long non-coding RNA (240 nucleotides) under Manihot esculenta (cassava). RNAcentral describes it as "long non-coding RNA (MESC_LNC003968)". Lineage: Eukaryota; Viridiplantae; Streptophyta; Magnoliopsida; Malpighiales; Euphorbiaceae. The record is from RNAcentral.
CAUGUUUUAAUGACUUGUUUUACUGUUCUACUCACUGGGCUAUAGAGCUCAUCCCACUCCCUUAACCCCAGUCUUGCAGGUUCAGUGUACAGUGUACAGGGGAAGUCCAACAGAGUACAGGAAGAGAGAAGAGUUUUGUAAUAGAAGAUUGUGGACAUGUAACAGUAAAGAGAUGUAACUAUUGUGUAUAAAGUUAGAAUUGUGCUUGACUUAGUUAUGUUUGUGUUGUCAAUCUUUUGU